CCUAGCGGCGAACGGGUGAGUAACACGUGGGCAACCUGCCCCUAGCACUGGGAUAACUUCGGGAAACCGAGGCUAAUACCGGAUACGACCUCUGAGGGCAUCCUCCGGAGGUGGAAAGCAUUGUGGCUAGGGAUGGGCCCGCGGCCUAUCAGCUUGUUGGUGGGGUAAUGGCCUACCAAGGCGACGACGGGUAGCCGGCCUGAGAGGGCGACCGGCCACACUGGGACUGAGACACGGCCCAGACUCCUACGGGAGGCAGCAGUGGGGAAUAUUGCACAAUGGGCGAAAGCCUGAUGCAGCGACGCCGCGUGAGGGAUGACGGCCUUCGGGUUGUAAACCUCUUUCAGCAGGGACGAAGCGAAAGUGACGGUACCUGCAGAAGAAGCACCGGCCAACUACGUGCCAGCAGCCGCGGUAAUACGUAGGGUGCAAGCGUUGUCCGGAAUUAUUGGGCGUAAAGAGCUCGUAGGCGGCUUGUCGCGUCGGCUGUGAAAACCUGGGGCUCAACCCCGGGCCUGCAGCCGAUACGGGCAAGCUAGAAUUCGGUAGGGGAGACUGGAAUUCCUGGUGUAGCGGUGAAAUGCGCAGAUAUCAGGAGGAACACCGGUGGCGAAGGCGGGUCUCUGGGCCGAUAUUGACGC
RNAcentral lists this ribosomal RNA (641 nucleotides) under Jatrophihabitans sp. I13A-01678. RNAcentral's name for it is "bacterial SSU rRNA". It matches the Rfam family "Bacterial small subunit ribosomal RNA", at positions 91 to 746 of the family's 1533-position model. Lineage: Bacteria; Bacillati; Actinomycetota; Actinomycetes; Jatrophihabitantales; Jatrophihabitantaceae. The record is from RNAcentral.